Long non-coding RNA from Dreissena polymorpha, 455 nucleotides. RefSeq lists it as uncharacterized. The transcript has 3 exons. The record is from RefSeq and is a predicted model, not a curated record. NCBI's taxonomy places the organism in Eukaryota, Metazoa, Mollusca, Bivalvia, Myida, Dreissenidae.
UGAAGAUCUUAUCACACACUAAGGUGAGGACAUUGUAUAUUCAGAAUGAAAUCAAUUAUCGUCGGUCUCAUGAUUGUGUCGGUCAUCCUAUUGGCGAAUGCAAACAAGGUUUGCGAGUACAACGGUAACACGUACAAUGUUGGCGACAACUUCAUGGAUGCCGAGGGCUGUAACAGAUGCUUUUGUGCGGAAAACGGCGCGGUGGGGUGCACCAUGAAGUAUUGCCCUCCAAACUACCUGUGAACAACUCGGAUACUACUAUUGACCAGGCAGAAAAUGACAUAUCAAAUCAUCCCAAAGCAAAUAGGAACACUUUUUGCAUCGGUUUUCUUCUUCAAUAUAUUACAAUACAAAAAUGGAUCGGUGUUUGUUUCAUGUAUCUAGUUAAAAAUAAGAUUGUAUGAAUGUACCAUUACACAUGUAUUCCGUAAUAAAAUCAAACAUUCUGCUACAAA